UACGAAGGGUGCAAGCGUUACUCGGAAUUACUGGGCGUAAAGCGUGCGUAGGUGGUGGUUUAAGUCUGUCGUGAAAGCCCUGGGCUCAACCUGGGAAUUGCGAUGGAUACUGGAUCACUAGAGUGUGGUAGAGGGAUGCGGAAUUUCCGGUGUAGCAGUGAAAUGCGUAGAGAUCGGAAGGAACAUCUGUGGCGAAGGCGGCAUCCUGGGCCAACACUGACACUGAGGCACGAAAGCCAGGGGAGCAAACGGG
Molecule: ribosomal RNA, 253 nt
Filed under: uncultured bacterium
Lineage: Bacteria
Description: partial 16S ribosomal RNA
Rfam family: Bacterial small subunit ribosomal RNA
Source: RNAcentral